Coccinella septempunctata (seven-spotted ladybird) is the source of this 2386-nucleotide long non-coding RNA. RefSeq lists it as uncharacterized. The transcript has 6 exons. The record is from RefSeq and is a predicted model, not a curated record. Lineage: Eukaryota; Metazoa; Arthropoda; Insecta; Coleoptera; Coccinellidae.
UCAGAUUCAUCGACAGACUGAUAUUUGUUGCGUCUAAUCUUGCUCAACUCAGCUUAGAGACUAGGAUCCUUUCAUAACAUAAAGAUACCCAGUGUUCUCCAUCUGAAAUUUCAUUUAUCAAACGUUUUCCACUUCCAAAGACUGCUGAAAGCAUGGAGGCAAGAAGAGCUUGUGUGGAAGUAUCGGAAAAUCACAAGUACUUCAUCAAGAAUGAGAAGAAAAACAAUUGGAAAAUAUGAUAAAGAUCUCACUGAAAUGGAUGUUGGCAAAGCACAGGAAUUCUGAGGGGAUUCCCACACGUGCGUGUGUCUGAAAUCAAGUCACGCUCUACGCACCUUCACUAGCCGGAGAAAGUCGGAAAAUCCGUGGAAAUGCACCGAACACAGACACAGUUUGGAACGUCUGGACUCCGACCUAGCACAACACAUUCUGUUGUGGGAAAUGCAACGUUGCACGUUGUACGACGUUUCCAAGUAAUGUUGCCAUGUGCGCUGACCUAUCCAUUUUCGUAGUUGCAUUUUGUCAAAACAUCACGAUUAGACGCAAUAAUAAAAUUUUAAUCUCCAUUUAAUUUGAAGUAGCCACUUGGAUAUCAGGGCCACCUUGAAGCAGAUCGCUCAAAAUGCUUACUCUUUCGAUAGUUGCAGAGCUUUCGAUGAACGUACAUUCGAAUUUUCAUUAUUUUUGGGUAAAAAAAAUGAAAAAAAAAAUUCUACCAACACCCCUAACGUGUGUUCAAUGUAAUGAAUUAAAAAUCAUCAUAUUGAAAUACUAAUUUUUUUUUUCAAUUUAUUAAGAACUGAAGUUUUGAUUUAUUGAAUAAAUUCAAUACAAUUUCAACCCUUUCCAGAAGAAAAAGUAAAAAUAUUCACCUUUCGACAAUCUGACUUCUUUUGGUCCUACUUUUUUAAGUCACCAUGAAUAUCUGCAAGAAGUGUUCUAUUUUGGCCUUGAAAUCCGCAUUUUUUUCAGCUAAAAAUAGCACGAAUCUACUAGAUAAACAGAACGUCAAUUGAAAUACGCAGUAACUAUUCCAAUGAAGUAAGUCCUUAUUUCCUGUUAUGAGCAAAAAUUCAAAACAGUAUUAUUGUUUGUUUGAACUGCAACCAGUGGCGCGUGCAGAAGCUCUCCUGCCGUCUCCAUGUGAUAUUGUUGACAAACAAAACAGAAUUUGGGGGUGACUAACCUCGCCGACUAUCCGGAUGAAUGGGAAAGGUCCGGGUUUGACCCCCAGUGACCUGGCCUAACACUUUCCAUGGUAACCGGCACGCAAGUCGACGAGCUCUUGGAUCCGAUAUCGAUUAACAGUUCACGAGAACGGCUCUAUCGGAAGAUAACAAUAAGAUUUACGGAAACUCCAUUAUUGGCUUUCAUCUCAAGCAAAUUCUUAAUUGUCGACUUCAAUUCCAGGGUAAGUAUGUGGCAGCAUCUCACAGAACUCAAGAAAGGGAAAUAAGUGGACUAAGACAUAUACAAAUUGGCCUUCCUGUUUCCAAAUUAUCCAAAAUCCGAACCGUCCACAUCCCCGGACAGUCAGCAUUGACACUGAUCCAAUUUCGAGAGCCUAGUCAAGGUGUGUAGGUCACCGGCUAUCUUUCGAGGCCAAAGCCAGAGAUGCGCACUGUCUAAUCACUCUCUCCAUUCAGGAAGCGGCUUAGCGGAAGGGUGGGAGCUACGUUGAGUAGUGGCGAAGGUGGCGCCGCCAACCGUCGAGUCGACGAAGGCGUUGGAAGUUGGAAGCUUGACCUGGAUACGCUAUUUGUGGACCGAAACGUUGAAGGGACUAACUCCGCACUAUCAAGAAUGAGGAAAUGCUUAGUGAAUGUGCCGGCCUAGCUCGGAUGUCAACAUUGAGACCAAAAGUUCAAUAACCGACAUACUCUCCGCCUUCUCCCACCGUUCCCCAGACCUGUCUGGAGUUACGAAAGCUGCCACAGCUCGCUGAAUUCUGCAACCGGAACAUAUGGCUUUUGAGUUCGAUGGCUCCAUCAACGGCCUCGGUGAAUGACGAAGAUCAAGGAAGAAAUGUCAUCCAUUGGAAGAGGAAACUGAGAAAAUGUUGGCGAACCUGAAAUCUCCUGAAACUAUUAACCAAUCGAUCUGUUUUUGAGGGUUAUUGGUGGGAGAUAACAAGACUAGCAAAGAUGCUUCAGUGCGCAGGUUUGAAUACAGCAGAACAUCAGUGAUUCUGCGCGUUAACAACAUAGCCGCAUGCACAUGACCAAGAUCAAAACUUCAAUAGGGUAAUCUAGCAUUUCCAAUUAUUGUCAACUCUAUAUAUCAUCUACUGAGAAUUUUGUGAAACUGUGAUUAUAAUGUUAUUUUAGUUUUUGAUUUCUCAAAAAAUCAGUUAUGUAUUUGAUAAAAAUAAAAUGUAUUCAAUAGC